Molecule: ribosomal RNA, 499 nt
Filed under: uncultured bacterium
Lineage: Bacteria
Description: partial 16S ribosomal RNA
Rfam family: Bacterial small subunit ribosomal RNA
Source: RNAcentral
GACGAACGCUGGCGGCGUGCCUAAUACAUGCAAGUCGAGCGGACUGAAUGGGAGCUUGCUCUUGUUCGGUCAGCGGCGGACGGGUGAGUAACACGUGGGCAACCUGCCCGCAAGACCGGGAUAACUCCGGGAAACCGGAGCUAAUACCGGAUAACACCGAAGACCGCAUGGUCUUUGGUUGAAAGGCGGCGCAAGCUGCCCCUUGCGGUGGGGCCCGCGGCGCAUUAGCUAGUUGGGGAGGUAACGGCUCACCAAGGCGACGAUUCGUAGCCCGCCUGAGGAGGGGGCCGGCCACACUGGGACUGUGACACGGCCCAGACUCCUACGGGAGGCAGCCGUAGGGGAUCUUCCGCAAUGGGCGGAAGCCUUACGGGGCGACGCCGCGUGGGGUGAGAAGGCCGUCGGGUCGUAAUGCUCUGUUGUGUGGGACGAAGGAGCGCCGUUUGAAGAUGGCGGCGCGGUGACGGUACCUCACGAGGAAGCCCCGGCUAACUACGUG